Molecule: long non-coding RNA, 228 nt
Filed under: Ananas comosus (pineapple)
Lineage: Eukaryota; Viridiplantae; Streptophyta; Magnoliopsida; Poales; Bromeliaceae
Description: long non-coding RNA (ACOM_LNC029686)
Source: RNAcentral
UAUUUGGUGUUGUUUCUAUUUUUCUUAUUGAAUAUAAAAAUUAGAAACAUCGUUCUCUAACAUAUUAAGUUUUCUGGAGAACAAAUAAUUUAACUUAAUAUUAGAGGAGGUUUGAGUUUGGGUAUCGUCAGGCUUCAAGUUUUUACUACAAACUAUCUAGCAGUUUAAGAAUUGAGAAUUCUAUCGACCAGCAAAUCAGUCAUGUAGAAUAUAUAUUUAAAAGAAGAU